GACGAACGCUGGCGGCGUGCUUAACACAUGCAAGUCGAACGGAAAGGCCCUGCUUUUGUGGGGUGCUCGAGUGGCGGACGGGUGAGUAACACGUGAGUAACCUGCCCUUGACUUUGGGAUAACUUCAGGAAACUGGGGCUAAUACCGGAUAGGAGCUCCUGCUGCAUGGUGGGGGUUGGAAAGUUUCGGCGGUUGGGGAUGGACUCGCGGCUUAUCAGCUUGUUGGUGGGGUAGUGGCUUACCAAGGCUUUGACGGGUAGCCGGCCUGAGGGGGUGACCGGCCACAUUGGGACUGAGAUACGGCCCAGACUCCUACGGGAGGCAGCAGUGGGGAAUAUUGCACAAUGGGCGGAAGCCUGAUGCAGCAACGCCGCGUGCGGGAUGACGGCCUUCGGGUUGUAAACCGCUUUCGCCUGUGACGAAGCGUGAGUGACGGUAAUGGGUAAAGAAGCACCGGCUAACUACGUG
This 468-nucleotide ribosomal RNA is filed under the name uncultured bacterium. Its description in RNAcentral is "partial 16S ribosomal RNA". It matches the Rfam family "Bacterial small subunit ribosomal RNA", at positions 28 to 507 of the family's 1533-position model. The record is from RNAcentral.